GAGUUUGAUCCUGGCUCAGGAUGAACGCUAGCUACAGGCUUAACACAUGCAAGUCGAGGGGCAUCAGGAAGAAAGCUUGCUUUCUUUGCUGGCGACCGGCGCACGGGUGAGUAACACGUAUCCAACCUGCCCUUUACUCGGGGAUAGCCUUUCGAAAGAAAGAUUAAUACCCGAUAGCAUAAUGAUUCCGCAUGGUUUCAUUAUUAAAGGAUUCCGGUAAAGGAUGGGGAUGCGUUCCAUUAGGUUGUUGGUGAGGUAACGGCUCACCAAGCCUUCGAUGGAUAGGGGUUCUGAGAGGAAGGUCCCCCACAUUGGAACUGAGACACGGUCCAAACUCCUACGGGAGGCAGCAGUGAGGAAUAUUGGUCAAUGGGCGCUAGCCUGAACCAGCCAAGUAGCGUGAAGGAUGAAGGCUCUAUGGGUCGUAAACUUCUUUUAUAUAAGAAUAAAGUGCAGUAUGUAUACUGUUUUGUAUGUAUUAUAUGAAUAAGGAUCGGCUAACUCCGUGCCAGCAGCCGCGGUAAUACGGAGGAUCCGAGCGUUAUCCGGAUUUAUUGGGUUUAAAGGGAGCGUAGGUGGACUGGUAAGUCAGUUGUGAAAGUUUGCGGCUCAACCGUAAAAUUGCAGUUGAUACUGUCAGUCUUGAGUACAGUAGAGGUGGGCGGAAUUCGUGGUGUAGCGGUGAAAUGCUUAGAUAUCACGAAGAACUCCGAUUGCGAAGGCAGCUCACUGGACUGCAACUGACACUGAUGCUCGAAAGUGUGGGUAUCAAACAGGAUUAGAUACCCUGGUAGUCCACACAGUAAACGAUGAAUACUCGCUGUUUGCGAUAUACAGUAAGCGGCCAAGCGAAAGCAUUAAGUAUUCCACCUGGGGAGUACGCCGGCAACGGUGAAACUCAAAGGAAUUGACGGGGGCCCGCACAAGCGGAGGAACAUGUGGUUUAAUUCGAUGAUACGCGAGGAACCUUACCCGGGCUUAAAUUGCAGUGGAAUGAUGUGGAAACAUGUCAGUGAGCAAUCACCGCUGUGAAGGUGCUGCAUGGUUGUCGUCAGCUCGUGCCGUGAGGUGUCGGCUUAAGUGCCAUAACGAGCGCAACCCUUAUCUUUAGUUACUAACAGGUUAUGCUGAGGACUCUAGAGAGACUGCCGUCGUAAGAUGUGAGGAAGGUGGGGAUGACGUCAAAUCAGCACGGCCCUUACGUCCGGGGCUACACACGUGUUACAAUGGGGGGUACAGAAGGCAGCUAGCGGGUGACCGUAUGCUAAUCCCAAAAGCCUCUCUCAGUUCGGAUCGAAGUCUGCAACCCGACUUCGUGAAGCUGGAUUCGCUAGUAAUCGCGCAUCAGCCACGGCGCGGUGAAUACGUUCCCGGGCCUUGUACACACCGCCCGUCAAGCCAUGGGAGCCGGGGGUACCUGAAGUACGUAACCGCAAGGAUCGUCCUAGGGUAAAACUGGUGACUGGGGCUAAGUCGUAACAAGGUAGCCGUA
Molecule: ribosomal RNA, 1492 nt
Filed under: uncultured Bacteroidota bacterium
Lineage: Bacteria; Pseudomonadati; Bacteroidota
Description: bacterial SSU rRNA
Rfam family: Bacterial small subunit ribosomal RNA
Source: RNAcentral